AUGGCUUCCCAGCCUUUCAGUUAAGAUCAAGUGUAGUGUCUGGUUUUAUCAGGUUAAUAUCCGAGGAAAAUAUAUUGAAUUGAUUUUUGGAGCGAGGAGAUGGAGUAGCAGCUUGCUGUGUCCGCUCCACACGCUAACAUGGUGUUAUAGAAGUCCAGAAAUGGUGCACUCCCU
Molecule: small nuclear RNA, 174 nt
Organism: Mesocricetus auratus (golden hamster)
Lineage: Eukaryota; Metazoa; Chordata; Mammalia; Rodentia; Cricetidae
Gene: U2
Rfam family: U2 spliceosomal RNA
About the family: U2 is a small nuclear RNA (snRNA) component of the spliceosome (involved in pre-mRNA splicing). Complementary binding between U2 snRNA (in an area lying towards the 5' end but 3' to hairpin I) and the branchpoint sequence (BPS) of the intron results the bulging out of an unpaired adenosine, on the BPS, which initiates a nucleophilic attack at the intronic 5' splice site, thus starting the first of two transesterification reactions that mediate splicing.
Source: Ensembl